AGCCAUAGCCCAGGGGUUAAGGCAUUUGCUUUGUGUGCAGAAGGUCCCAAGUCCAAACCCCUGGCAUCUCUA
Podarcis lilfordi (Lilford's wall lizard) is the source of this 72-nucleotide non-coding RNA. Lineage: Eukaryota; Metazoa; Chordata; Lepidosauria; Squamata; Lacertidae. The record is from the annotation of a GenBank genome assembly.